CACCCAAAGUGAUAUCAAACCCUCCAUACUACUAUAAGUCACCACCUCCACCAUCACCGUCACCUCCUCCACCAUACUACUAUAAGUCCCCACCUCCACCAUCACCAUCUCCACCACCCCCAUACUAUUAUAAGUCACCACCUCCACCAUCACCAUCACCUCCUCCACCAUACUACUAUAAGUCCCCACCUCCACCAUCACCAUCACCUCCUCCACCAUACUACUAUAAGUCCCCACCCCCACCAUCACCAUCCCCACCACCACCUUACUAUUAUAAGUCCCCACCUCCACCCAAAGAGAUUUCACACCCUCCAUACUACUAUAAAUCACCACCCCCACCAUCACCGUCACCUCCUCCACCAUACUACUAUAAGUCCCCACCCCCACCAUCACCAUCCCCACCACCACCUUAUUAUUAUAAGUCUCCACCUCCACCCAAAGAGAUUUCACACCCUCCAUACUAUUAUAAGUCACCACCCCCGCCAUCACCAUCCCCUCCUCCGCCAUACUACUAUAAGUCACCACCCCCACCAUCUUCAUCCCCACCCCCACCAUAUUAUUACAAAUCUCCUCCACCACCAUCACCAUCACCACCACCUCCCUACUAUUACAAAUCACCUCCACCUCCUUCACCAUCACCACCACCUCCCUACUACUACAAAUCACCUCCACCACCAUCCCCAUCGCCACCACCUCCAUACUACUACAAAAGUCCCCCUCCACCAUCCCCCUCUCCUCCUCCCCCAUAUUACUACAAAUCUCCACCACCACCAUCACCAUCUCCACCUCCUCCCUACUAUUACAAAUCACCUCCUCCACCAUCACCAUCACCGCCACCUCCUUACUAUUACAAAUCUCCCCCACCUCCAUCUCCAUCUCCACCACCACCUUAUCAUUAUCAAAGUCCUCCUCCACCAUCUCCCAUUUCUCAUCCUCCCUACUAUUACAAAUCCCCUCCACCACCGUCGCCAUCUCCUCCACCUCCUUACCACUAUGUAAGUCCUCCACCACCAGUAAAGUCUCCUCCACCACCAGUUUAUAUAUAUGCUUCACCACCACCACCUAUCUACAACUAAGUUCAAAUUACAGAUGCACCAUUGAUGAUGAAUCAUGUAAGUUUAUCAUAUUUACUUUUAUGAAUGUAUGUGUGUUUUAUAAUAUAAUACUUAUAAAAGUUCUUAUUCGUGUUUGUUUUCAGGUUCCAGUUUUCAACUACGAAUAAAGUCAAGCUCCGUUUGGAGCAAAGUGAAAUAUCUAGCUUCGUACCCAUAUUUAUUAAAUAAAAGUCAGGAUGCAUCAUCUUUGAGCUACAAUAUUUGUCAUCGAGACAAAAUUUAUUUUAUUUCUUUGAUGACCAUCUUGCACUUCCUGAUCUUACUCUUUUCAAGUGACAGGCAAAUCAAAAUGGAGAAGCGUGAUUGAUUUAUUUGUGAUCUCUUAUAUUUAUUUGUGCAUAGAUCAAUAUGUACGUAUAUGAUAGUUUUCUAUUUAUUGAGAAAUUUUUUAUUGUAAUCUGUUAUCGUGUUUGCCAAAAGGUGUUAGCAAUAAAGAAUCGCAUUCAAUUUCUGCCUACACUAUUAAGUUUGUAUUUUUCUAACCACAAUCGUUCAUGCGAAUGUGAUGUAGCUGUUUAAAAUAGCUCCAAAUGAUGCAUAAAAAGCUUUCAAUCAAAUGAGACAGGGUCACGGUUACUCUUGUACCUAUUUAGUUAUCCAUACAUUUAUAUUCAUAGGGGUUAUAUGGUAUAGCUGCACUUAAUUAAUUGUUUAUGUAUGCAAGCUUUUCCUUUCCAUCAAUAAGCAAUGGUUAGAAGCAUUCUUCUACAUAUUCCUCUCUACUCUUCUAGAAUGAAUUGUUUAUUUCAUGUAAGAUGGUAUCAAAAGAUUCAAAACACACCACCUAAUGCUGCUAUGUAUAAAUAAAGUAUGACUACAAACUUUAUGACCCCUAAUUGAAAGAGAACUUAAAGUUUCAAGGUUUCUACACACAUUUUCAAGGAAGUAGGUUCCAAAUAUAACAUUAUCAUUCUCUGUACAAAUAUGACACUUCCAAGUAUUAUUUAUUGUAAGGAAUAGAAUGUACUCGUGAAUAGGGAAGACUUUUCAACAUCAAGUGGAUGAUGUUUUGCCUAAACUCGGCUGUUAUUGUUAACAUGGUGAAGUCUGGCUUUUUUGAAAAAUGGUUUUAGCAAACAAUCUAAUUGGAGAAUAUCAGUAGUUCAUGGCUUUAGACAAACCAACUGUUGUGCAUAUUUACUAGUUUGAUAGUUAAUUAAGGUCAUUCCUCCACAACUUUUUGAUUGGAUUCUAGUUUUCCUUCUUUGAGUACUUAAAAUUGAUAGAAACGUCAACUUUUUAAAUACUUUUUACUUAUAUUUCAUUUUAGAUUUCAUUUUCGAUGGAGUAUUUAUUAACCAAUGAUAUACGCAAGAGUCUCCCUCGUUUGAUUUCUUAAUUCAAUCAAUUUUUAUAUAUAAAAAAAGGACCCGAUAAUACAUCAAUGAUUGUAUUAAGAUAACUUCAGUUUGAAAAAUUGUACAACCCUAUACUACCUAUUACCUAAAUUAAACCCGAGAAUUUUAGGACCGUAAAGGUGGGUGGAGUGGUCGUCCAGAUAACUUUAACAUAAUUAGCUCUCCAAAAAUGGAAAAGUAAUCCUUUAUUUAAGCUAUGAUAUACACGCUUAUCUGCCCAACAUUAUAGUAAGAAUCCAAAAGGACUCACCUAAUCCCUCCAAUCCCUUUCUCUUUCUAGCUUUUCCACCCAACCACUGGUUCCACAAUUAUGGAAUCAAUAUCCAAUUAUGUUUACGAGGCGUGUCUAAUAUAUAGACCUCUCAGAAAAUGGUCAAGACUGUUACUAUUUUUUAGUAAAAAAAUAAUUUUAUAAUAAUAAAAAAUAAAAAGAAAAUAUAAUAUUUCAAUAAAAUUUAAUUAAAAAUAGUGAAGUUCACCAUUAGACCUAGACUAUAUUGGACAGUCCUAUCUUUAAGACUAAUUAUUGUGUGAAAAAUCAUCUAAUCGGAUUUUGUUACAUAACUCAAUACGAGUUGAGAUCUUAUCAAUUUCUCAAAAAAUAUAGAAUAUUCAAUUAUUAUAAUUUUGUAUUUCUAUAUUGACACACAUUUUUAAAACAUGUGACAUAAAUUAAACAUUUAUUAACUUUAUAUACACCAACAAUAUAGUAAUUAAACAAAUGAAAUGGAGAGGAUAUGAGGCUCAGCUGUCCUAUUACACGGCAUUGACUACCUUAAACAAUGUGUGAGAGAGAGGAGAACACGAUGGCAUUGUCCAACUUAAGUAUUAGUAGCUUCACAUGGAGACACAAUGCACCCAUUUUAUGGUAAUUUUAACAAAUGGGGCAUAUGUUCUGUCAACAAAAACAAAAAUAUGGGGCAGAUGCAACGAAAGUUACUGCCACCUUGGCCUUAAGAAAGAGUAAAUAAAUUGAUAUGUUGGACAAAACCAAAACGUUACUACAUUUCUCUUCUAGCUAGCAAAUCCAAAUCAGACAAUGGUGCUACAUUUAAUAUGUACAUUUCCACUAACAAUGGUGAAAAAAAAGAUAAUUGUCAAAUUUUAACAUCAAAGGGAGAAUUAAUCUCACGCCAUUUAAGAAGAAAAAUAUGAAAUAGAUAGUGGGAGAACACACUUGUCCAUCUUAUGUGAAAAUUUCAGAUGAUACGAUCCAUUCCUAGAAAUUAGAAUCACAUGUAAUUUUAAUCUGGAAGAUUGACUUUUCAGAAAAAUAAAACUAGAUUUGUUCACAAUAUCAUAGAGGAAUUUACAUGAUUUCCUCCCGUUGAAUUGUAGGACUAUUUCUUAUUGGCAAAGGCUUGGUUGUCCAUUUAAAAUAUUAUAUCACAUUAUCCAACAGCACCAAACCCAAUUUUCAUAACGGUAGUUUGCACGUUUCAUUCAUUUAUUGAUUCCAUAAUUUUAUGUUACAAGUCGACAUUGAUCAGUUGCUAAAAACUAUGCAACGACCAAAAAUAACUAGUAGUAUAUAUUUUAACACCGAGAUUUAUCAGACAGGAACAUAUGUAAAGACAAAUCAAAUGAAUGCCCAGUUUAAGUCAGAAUAAUAUAACACAUAAUAUAGUGUACACAGUUAAAAAAAAAAAAUCAAAUUUCACAAGACAAUAAAUGUAAUAUAAUUUUAUGCGCAGCUAACAAUUUUUCACUAGCUUUCGCCAUUAUGAUGUUUUGACUCUGUGUGCAUAUUUCAGUUAUAAGAUUAUUCCGUUUUAUGUUACUGAAAUACUAAUUCAACCAUUUGGCAUUGACAUAUUUCCAUCAUGAGUGCAUGUUUCUUUUUGUUUUAUUUUUCCUUUCUUUCUUUUGAAUAAUUUCUUCCUUUGUUACUAAAAUAACUUGAUCUUGAUAUACAUGAGAUAAAGCCUACACCUGAUACAAGGUAAAUGCAUUGGACAAAUAAAGCAAAAAACAAAGCUAUUCAGAAAGUGUAUUGCACAAACAGAGAAACUACUAAGAAAGGUUAAACUUUUUACUUUUAUAAUAAAUAUGAAAUUUGCUAAUUAUUUUUCCUGGUUAUUGUUCUUUUUAUUUUCUCCUUCAAAAUCAGCAAUAUGCAAUUGUGCAUUUCAUCCGGGAAACAUCAUCACAUGUUCAUCUCAUAAUUGAGAAGUCACAUAAUUUGGAUUACUCUAUCACAUUCAAAAAGUACACAUACAAAACAUGAAAAGUCAACUAUACAUUUCACGAUUAAAUGAAGAACACAAAAAUUCCAACCAAAGCUUGCAAUAGCUACCAUCAUGGGCUAGAACAAAAAUAAUGCCCAUUCAUGGAUAAGUAAGGCAAAACAGACUAGAUUCACAUUCCCUUCCCUCAAAAACAAUACAAAGUAAAAUUGAAAAAGAGAACAAGAGAGAAAAUGGUAAAAGAAAAAAAGCAUUUUGACAGUUACUUUUUUGUCAAGAUAAGCAACUCAGAAGGGAAGCUAUGAGGAAACUAUAGAAGAAUAGGACACAUUACUUCAAGUUCUCUAAUCAUUCCAUUUUGUCAAGAUGCUUAUUUAUAUUUUAAUUAUGACAAAAUACAUCUUAUAGUCUUUUAAGUUACACGAAAAUAUCAAAUUGGUCAUUUAACUUUUUUUGUAUCAAUUUAUGUUUGUAAAAGUUACACUGUUGAACUAUUUUUAGUCCCAACCUCAUUUCAAUCAUUUUUAGUUAAAUAUUUUUAAAUUGUAUUAUGAGUUUUGUAUCAAUCAUAAGAGGAAUAAUAUAUUAAAUUUUAUGUGAUUGCAUGAUGUAGAUUAAGAGAUUUUAGUGUUUAAUUUCAAAAAACACUAAAAUGUAUCUCACUCAAAUUCUAUUUUGUUUAAUUAUUUUUCUAAAAGUUGAUUGAAGGUCUAUGUUCUUAUGAUUAUUGCAAUCAAAAGCCUUUAAAAAUUAUAUGAGUUUAUCGAAAAAAUUAAGAGAAUUUUGAAUUUCAAUUUUGCUGAUGUAAAAUUAAGAUUAUCGGCGUAAACAUUUACAAACAUAAAAGGCAAACUUAACACUAAUGAAAAUAAAAGACUACGUUGUUACAACAAAAAAGGACUAAAUUGUUAAAAAUAAAAAAUAAAGGACUAAUUUUUAGUUUUCUUAUAACUUUAAAGACCACGGGAGAUAGAAAUAGUGACGGGUUACGGCCAUUGGAACUAGGAAGUAUAACAAUGUAAUGCGAAAGAAGUUGCCAACUGGGAGCAUUAUUUAAAGGACUUAAAUCAAAAUGAGUCAAAUCAAUAUUUGAAUUGGUCCUUAAUGAUAGCUGCCUCUUUACGACUUACUCUCACUACACUAUAAGUAUUAAGUCUCACAAGCAGCUUUUCACAUAAUCACAAACUCCAAAACCUCUCUUCUACCCUUCCACGGGAGAUAGAAAUAGUGACGGGUUACGGCCAUUGGAACUAGGAAGUAUAACAAUGUAAUGCGAAAGAAGUUGCCAACUGGGAGCAUUAUUUAAAGGACUUAAAUCAAAAUGAGUCAAAUCAAUAUUUGAAUUGGUCCUUAAUGAUAGCUGCCUCUUUACGACUUACUCUCACUACACUAUAAGUAUUAAGUCUCACAAGCAGCUUUUCACAUAAUCACAAACUCCAAAACCUCUCUUCUACCCUUCCAGCUUUUCCACCAUAUCAAAGAAUAUUAGUGAGGAUACAAUAACAGAAGCAUUGGAGGUGACAACUUUUUCUUUCUACCCAUGACAGAUAGAACCAGUUGCCCCAGAAGGGAUUAUAUCUGGCCACCAAUGGCAACGGCAUUGGCCAUUGUGUUAAUUUCCACAACUGUGGUUUCUGUUGCUGCUGAUAGUUACAUUUACUCUUCUCCACCACCACCUCCUUACGUGUACAAGUCACCACCUCCUCCAUCACCAUCAACUCCAACACAUUACAUUUACAAGUCUCCACCACCUCCACCCUAUGAGCACAAGUCUCCAUCUUAUGAGUACAAGUCUCCCCCACCUCCUUCACCAUCACCCCCACCACCAUAUGUGUACAACUCACCACCUCCUCCAUCACCAUCACCUCCACCUCCAUACAUAUACAAGUCACCAGCUCCUCCACCUUAUGAAUACAAGUCUCCAUACUAUUACACGAGUCCUCCACCAGCCUCUCCCUCACCUCCACCUCCAGACUAUUACAAAUCACCCCCACCACCUUCACCAUCUUCUCCACCACCAUACUAUUACAAAUCUCCUCCUCCUCCAUCUCCUAUUCCCCAUACACCUUACUACAAUAAGUCUCCACCACCAUACUAUUAUAACUCUCCACCUCCACAUAUUGUGUAUCCUCAACCACACCCCUACCACCACUCAUUGAUUGUAAAGGUAGUGGGUAAAGUCUACAGCUUUAGGUGUUAUGAUUGGGAGUAUCCUGAAAAGUCUCAUGACAAGAAACACCUUAAAGGUACAUUAAUUUAUAUUUCUUAAUCCUUUCGUUUUUAACUCGUAUAAACUUAUUUAUUUAUUUUUGAAAAACUUGAGUAAAUUAUUAUUGGCAUAAAAUCCUCAAUGGCAUUACAAAUAAAUUGACAAUAUAGUUUAAUAUGUUUCUGUUUAAUAAUACUCUAUAUUAUAUGUCUUUAAAUACAUUUUUAUUUCACUUUGUCUUUAAAUCAAAUUUGUAAUGCGGCAGGAGCUAUUGUGGAGGUGAAAUGCAAAGCUGGGAGAAAAAUAAUCAAAGCUUAAGGUAAAACUAAGAUCAAUGGAAAAUACAGCAUCACGGUUAAGGACUUCGACUACGUCAAAUAUGGUCCUACAGUAUGCAAAGCCACACUUUAUGCUCCACCUAAAGGCUCUCCUUUUAACAUACCUACAAAGCUAAAUGCGGGAACCAACUUGGAGUUGAAAUCCAAAGACAAGUAUGAGGUUGUACUUAAGGCUAAGCCAUUUGCUUAUGCUUCAAAGAAAUAUUUUAAAGAAUGUGAGAAACCCAAUCCUUCACCAACUCCUUACGACUACAAGUCACCUCCUCCUCCAGUACCGGUUUACAAGUACAACUCACCACCUCCACCGGUCCAUUAUUAUUCUCCUCCAUAUUACUACAAGUCACCUCCGCCUCCAUUGAAAUCACUUCCACCUUAUUAUUACAAGUCCCCACCUCCACCAUCACACCCUCCAUACUGCUACAAGUCACCACCCCCACCAUCACCAUCACCAUCACCUCCUCCACCAUACUAUUACAAAUCCCCACCUCCACUAUCACCAUCUUCACCACCACCUUACUAUUAUAAGUCACCUCCUCCACCCAAAGUGAUUUCAAACCCUCCAUACUACUAUAAGUCACCACCCCCACCAUCACCAUCACCUCCUCCACCAUACUAUUACAAGUCCCCACCUCCACCGUCACCAUCUCCACCACCAUUUUACUAUUAUAAGUCACCCCCUCCACCCAAAGAGAUCUCAAACCCUCCAUACUACUAUAAGUCACCACCCCUACCAUCACCAUCACCUUCUCCACCAUACUAUUAUAAGUCCCCACCUCCACCGUCACCAUCUCCACCACCAC
RNAcentral lists this long non-coding RNA (8006 nucleotides) under Cicer arietinum (chickpea). RNAcentral describes it as "long non-coding RNA (CARI_LNC001280)". The record is from RNAcentral. Lineage: Eukaryota; Viridiplantae; Streptophyta; Magnoliopsida; Fabales; Fabaceae.